This 329-nucleotide ribosomal RNA is filed under the name uncultured bacterium. RNAcentral's name for it is "bacterial SSU rRNA". It matches the Rfam family "Bacterial small subunit ribosomal RNA", at positions 32 to 355 of the family's 1533-position model. The record is from RNAcentral.
AAUCAACGCUGGCGGCGUGCCUAACACAUGCAAGUCGAACGCGAAAGGGGCUUCGGCCCUGAGUAGAGUGGCGUCCGGGUGAGUAACGCGUGGGUAAUCUACCCUCGGGUGGGGAAUAACCAAUCGAAAGAUUGGCUAAUACCGCAUAAUGCAGCGGCUCGACAUCGAGACAGUUGUUAAAGCAGCAAUGCGCCAGAGGAGGAGCCUGCGUCUGAUUAGCUGUUGGCGGGGUAACGGCCCACCAAGGCUACGAUCAGUAGCUGGUCUGAGAGGACGGCCAGCCGCAAUGGCACUGAAACACGGGCCAUACUCCUACGGGAGGCAGCAGU